UGUCCGCUGCGAUUAGCACGGAUUUCGCCUUCACUGGUAGCCUGGUAACAUACACUCCCAGGUCUUUCUCUGCCUCUGUGGUGGAUAGUGGAGUGUUUCCCAUGUGGUAUUGGUGUGCUGGAUAUCCCUUCACUGGUAGCCUGGUAACAUACACUCCCAGGUCUUUCUCUGCCUCUGUGGUGGAUAGUGGAGUGUUUCCCAUGUGGUAUUGGUGUGCUGGAUAUCCCUUCACUGGUAGCCUGAUAACAUACACUCCCAGGUCUUUCUCUGCCUCUGUGGUGGAUAGUGGAGUGUUUCCCAUGUGGUAUUGGUGUGCUGGAUAUCCCUUCACUGGUAGCCUGGUAACAUACACUCCCAGGUCUUUCUCUGCCUCUGUGGUGGAUAGUGGAGUGUUUCCCAUGUGGUAUUGGUGUGCUGGAUAUCCCUUCACUGGUAGCCUGGUAACAUACACUCCCAGGUCUUUCUCUGCCUCUGUGGUGGAUAGUGGAGUGUUUCCCAUGUGGUAUUGGUGUGCUGGAUAUCCCUUCACUGGUAGCCUGGUAACAUACACUCCCAGGUCUUUCUCUGCCUCUGUGGUGGAUAGUGGAGUGUUUCCCAUGUGGUAUUGGUGUGCUGGAUAUCCCUUCACUGGUAGCCUGAUAACAUACACUCCCAGGUCUUUCUCUGCCUCUGUGGUGGAUAGUGGAGUGUUUCCCAUGUGGUAUUGGUGUGCUGGAUAUCCCUUCACUGGUAGCCUGAUAACAUACACUCCCAGGUCUUUCUCUGCCUCUGUGGUGGAUAGUGGAGUGUUUCCCAUGUGGUAUUGGUGUGCUGGAUAUCCUCUCCCAAGGUGCAGGACUUUACAUUUUUCUUCAUUGAAUUGUAGCAGCCACUUUUUGAUCCAUUCCUGUAGCUUGGUGAUGUCUGACUGUAGGAAAUCCACAGUCAAGGGAUUAACUAAAG
This is a long non-coding RNA of Eriocheir sinensis (Chinese mitten crab), 942 nucleotides long. RefSeq lists it as uncharacterized. The record is from RefSeq and is a predicted model, not a curated record. The transcript is spliced from 4 exons. Lineage: Eukaryota; Metazoa; Arthropoda; Malacostraca; Decapoda; Varunidae.